RNAcentral lists this small nuclear RNA (279 nucleotides) under Erinaceus europaeus (western European hedgehog). RNAcentral's name for it is "7SK RNA". It matches the Rfam family "7SK RNA". Rfam says of the family: 7SK was discovered as an abundant small nuclear RNA in the mid-70s but a possible function has only recently been suggested. Lineage: Eukaryota; Metazoa; Chordata; Mammalia; Eulipotyphla; Erinaceidae. The record is from Rfam by way of RNAcentral.
GGAUGUGAGGGCGAUCUGGCUGCGACAUCUGUCACCCCACUGAUCGCCAGGGUUGAUUCAGCUGAUCUGGCUGGCUAGGCGGGUGUCCCCUUCCUCCCUCACUGCUCUAUGUGCGUCCCUCCCGAAGCUGUGCACUGGGUUGAAGAGGACAGCCUUCCCCAAAUAGAGACAGACCGGUCAAGGGUAUAGGAGUAGCUGCGCUCCCCUGCUAGAACCUCCAAAACGAGCUCUCAAGGAAAAGGAAGUUCAACAAAGGCUUGAUUUUCCUUUGAUUUUUUU